RNAcentral lists this non-coding RNA (72 nucleotides) under Heterocapsa rotundata. The record is from RNAcentral. Lineage: Eukaryota; Dinophyceae; Peridiniales; Heterocapsaceae.
GUCCCAGACGAAGGCCACGCACCUCUACCUGAACCACGCCUCCUGCGACCCCGCGCCGGCGGCGCCUGCCGC